ACAAACUUGGUCAUUUAGAGGAAGUAAAAGUCGUAACAAGGUUUCCGUAGGUGAACCUGCGGAAGGAUCAUUAUCGACUGAUAACAAUCAUUGUGAACCAUGUGUGCAAUUAUUGAGGAAUCGAAAGAGGGGAAAAUUUUUUCCUCCUUUUUUUUUUUCCAUCACGUAUUAUAUUUGUCGUUUAUUAUAAUAUUUUAAAUAAAACGAAAAAACUUUCAACAACGGAUCUCUUGGCUCUCGCAUCGAUGAAGAACGCAGC
This 259-nucleotide unclassified non-coding RNA is filed under the name uncultured fungus. RNAcentral describes it as "partial contains small subunit ribosomal RNA, internal transcribed spacer 1, and 5.8S ribosomal RNA". The stretch from base 1 to 73 matches the Rfam family "Eukaryotic small subunit ribosomal RNA", at positions 1759 to 1831 of the family's 1831-position model. The record is from RNAcentral. Lineage: Eukaryota; Fungi.